RNAcentral lists this ribosomal RNA (698 nucleotides) under uncultured Chloroflexota bacterium. RNAcentral describes it as "bacterial SSU rRNA". It matches the Rfam family "Bacterial small subunit ribosomal RNA", at positions 67 to 784 of the family's 1533-position model. Lineage: Bacteria; Bacillati; Chloroflexota. The record is from RNAcentral.
CGGGCAUUUUGGGAAACUGGAAUGCUAGUGGCAAACGGGUGAGUAACACGUGGGUGACCUACCUCAGAGUGGGGAACAACAGACCGAAAGGUUUGCUAAUACCGCAUAUGCUCGAUAAUUCAUUUUGUCGUGCAAAGGCGCAAGUCGCUCUGAGAGGGGCCCGCGUCCCAUCAGGUAGUUGGUGAGGUAAUGGCCCACCAAGCCGAUGACGGGUAGCUGUUCUGAGAGGAAGAUCAGCCACAAUGGAACUGAGAUACGGUCCAUACUCCUACGGGAGGCAGCAGUGAGGAAUAUUGCACAAUGGACGAAAGUCUGAUGCAGCGACGCCGCGUGGGUGACGAAGGCCUUCGGGUCGUAAAACCCUUUUGGCAGGGACGAGUGAGGACGGUACCUGCAGAAUAAGUCUCGGCUAACUACGUGCCAGCAGCCGCGGUAAAACGUAGGAGGCGAGCGUUAUCCGGAUUUACUGGGCGUAAAGCGUGCGUAGGCGGUUGGUCAAGUCAGAUGUUAAAGCCCCUGGCUCAACUGGGGGAGGUCAUUUGAUACUGAUCGGCUUGAGGGUGAGAGAGGAGAGUGGAAUUCCCGGUGUAGCGGUGGAAUGCGUAGAGAUCGGGAGGAACACCAGUGGCGAAAGCGGCUCUCUGGCUCACUUCUGACGCUGAGUGCACGAAAGCGUGGGUAGCAAACGGGAUUAGAUA